This 24-nucleotide microRNA is filed under the name Equus caballus (horse). Lineage: Eukaryota; Metazoa; Chordata; Mammalia; Perissodactyla; Equidae. The record is from RNAcentral.
UACCCAGUAAGGUACUGAUCACUU